CCUACGGGUGGCAGCAGUGGGGAAUAUUGGACAAUGGGGGGAACCCUGAUCCAGCCAUGCCGCGUGUGUGAAGAAGGCCCUCGGGUUGUAAAGCACUUUCAGUGAGGAAGAACGCCUGGUGGUUAAUACCCAUCAGGAAAGACAUCACUCACAGAAGAAGCACCGGCUAACUCCGUGCCAGCAGCCGCGGUAAUACGGAGGGUGCGAGCGUUAAUCGGAAUUACUGGGCGUAAAGCGCGCGUAGGUGGCUUGAUAAGCCGGUUGUGAAAGCCCCGGGCUCAACCUUGGAACGGCAUCCGGAACUGUCAAGCUAGAGUGCAGGAGAGGAAGGUAGAAUUCCCGGUGUAGCGGUGAAAUGCGUAGAGAUCGGGAGGAAUACCAGUGGCGAAGGCGGCCUUCUGGACUGACACUGACACUGAGGUGCGAAAGCGUGGGUAGCAAACAGGAUUAGAUACCCUGGUAGUC
RNAcentral lists this ribosomal RNA (465 nucleotides) under Vreelandella stevensii. RNAcentral describes it as "partial 16S ribosomal RNA". It matches the Rfam family "Bacterial small subunit ribosomal RNA", at positions 338 to 795 of the family's 1533-position model. The record is from RNAcentral. Lineage: Bacteria; Pseudomonadati; Pseudomonadota; Gammaproteobacteria; Oceanospirillales; Halomonadaceae.